RNAcentral lists this long non-coding RNA (471 nucleotides) under Amborella trichopoda. Its description in RNAcentral is "long non-coding RNA (ATRI_LNC000910)". Lineage: Eukaryota; Viridiplantae; Streptophyta; Magnoliopsida; Amborellales; Amborellaceae. The record is from RNAcentral.
UUCCAACCCUAACAUCAACAUCGCAGGCCCCAAAUGAAGUACUCAGGGAGGCAGGCUAUAUUGAAAUGUCUAAUAAUGAAAAUUACAAUCUUGAAUCUCAGUCAGGCAGAGACGCAUGAUCUGUUCAGGCAUUUUGCCUAUCAAAACCCAAAAGUACUAACCCGAUAAUAAUAGGAAGGACAAUUUACCAAAAUACCAACGAGAGAGGAACAAUUUAACAUUUUACCCAUAUUGUUUGAAUUAGUUUCAAAUUAAGCAUCACCUUACACAUGAUCAUGACUUGGAAUUGUUGCAAAUGUGUAAAAUGUUAAAUAAUGUUUCUCUCAUUGGUAUUUUGAUAAAUUUUCCUAAUAAGAAUAAUAAUAAUAAUAAUAAUAGCAUGAUGAUGAUGAUAAGGGGCAGAAUGGCAGCUUGAUUCAUGGGAUGGAGAUUAGUAAUUUCAAGAGUUAAUUUCCUGAAUUUAUGCCAAUG